GCCUUUGUAGUGUAGUGGUUAACAUGAUCGGCACGUAUUCGAGAGGUCCGUGGUUCGAGUCCCGGCGAGGGUA
Molecule: transfer RNA, 73 nt
Filed under: Stegodyphus mimosarum
Lineage: Eukaryota; Metazoa; Arthropoda; Arachnida; Araneae; Eresidae
Rfam family: tRNA
About the family: Transfer RNA (tRNA) molecules are approximately 80 nucleotides in length. Their secondary structure includes four short double-helical elements and three loops (D, anti-codon, and T loops).
Source: Rfam by way of RNAcentral